GGAACGGCUGGAUGACGAGAACGAUACACUUUGAUUUAAUCUACUUAAAGUGCAUCUCGACGUCAGCGUACGCGUGUUUUUUUUCAUCGAUAGCCAUCUCGUUCGUUGUAAAAAUUUUAAAAACAUGUUUAAAAUCAUACUCCUUUGUUCGCUUUUAUGUGCGGUCAUGGCUAUGGCUGCUCCUCCGAUUAUUUUCACGAAUGGCGUUGUAGCCUCAUAUCCACACAGCAUGCUACUCAGACUUCUGAUUCCGGCUACUUCUUACGCAUACGCUGCAGGAUAUGACGCCAUUGAUUCGUACGAACCUGUAGAGCAUCACGGAUAUAGAAUCUCUUAUUAGCGAAGAACUAUUUUUUAGAAAUAUUGUGCUAGGUUUUGAUAAAGUUCUAAAUGUAUACAACCUUAGACUAUAAGUUCAUUAUUAAGUAUCUAUACGAGUAAUUCGAAUUUUUAUGCGUAAGUAUAAGUAUUAGUGAAUUUUUCACCCUUCUUUCACCAAAAAAUAAAUAAAUAAGGAAACAAAACUAUA
Long non-coding RNA from Planococcus citri (citrus mealybug), 529 nucleotides. RefSeq lists it as uncharacterized. The record is from RefSeq and is a predicted model, not a curated record. The transcript is spliced from 2 exons. Lineage: Eukaryota; Metazoa; Arthropoda; Insecta; Hemiptera; Pseudococcidae.